Molecule: unclassified non-coding RNA, 206 nt
Filed under: Polyporus ciliatus
Lineage: Eukaryota; Fungi; Basidiomycota; Agaricomycetes; Polyporales; Polyporaceae
Description: ITS2
Source: RNAcentral
AUUCUCAACCCAACAAGHUCUUAACGGGACUUUGCUUGUGGCUUGGACUUGGAGGAUUGHCGGCUCAUUAGCAGUCGGCUCCUCUCAAAUGCAUUAACUUGGUUCCUUGCGGAUCGGCUCACGGUGHGAUAAUUGUCUACGCCGCGACCGUUGAAGCGUUUAAUGGCCAGCUUCUAAUCGUCUCUUGCGAGACAGCAUUCAUCGAA